RNAcentral lists this long non-coding RNA (335 nucleotides) under Dromaius novaehollandiae (emu). RNAcentral's name for it is "lncRNA (ENSDNVG00000005361.1)". The record is from RNAcentral. Lineage: Eukaryota; Metazoa; Chordata; Aves; Casuariiformes; Dromaiidae.
CUCUACAACUUGCGCUAGCGCUGAGCUGCCAGCACCUCGUGGGCUGCCGUCACGAGCUGUGGCCCCUGGGAAACAGGGGGAGGAAAUGCUUCGGAAAGGCGGAACGUGUCCCGCGCAUGGGGGGAAACAACCCGGCUUUCCCUCAUCUCCAGGGUCCGCAAGAGACGACAGUGAAGGAAGAGGAGAAAGAGGCAUUUCAGGAAGGUCCGAGGGACAGUGUACCUGUUGCUGCUGAAGAACAAACUGGAGCACAACGUGCACCAGUGACACUGCUGACAAAUCUUUCCGAACCACUCUACAUAGAUGGCCUCAUCAUAGGUCCGAUUUAUAAAACC